This 9424-nucleotide long non-coding RNA is filed under the name Triticum aestivum (bread wheat). RNAcentral describes it as "long non-coding RNA (TAES_LNC018968)". Lineage: Eukaryota; Viridiplantae; Streptophyta; Magnoliopsida; Poales; Poaceae. The record is from RNAcentral.
UUAUUUGUCAAACACAAUAUAUUUAUCAUGCUACGUUGCAUUCAGAAAGUAUAAACUACUACAGUAGUACAGUCUGGACCGCCGUGGAUCCACACAUACAUAGAAAAAUUGCAUCUUAACAAUUCACACACAAUCUUUAAUAAUUCAGUACACCAUAAGAGAAAAUGCUCUAAUCAUACAUCAGACAUCAGAACCAUGAAACUACUUAUUCAAUCACACCAAUAAUUUUCCCAUUAACUGUCUUUCAGUCUUCCUACUAAUGCCGAAUCGCUUAUCCCAAAAGCACAGGUUGUAAAAGUCAUAGGCUUCUCCCGAAGUAUCAAAACUCGUCCCCAAUGUCAGCACUAUGACAUUGUCCCCUGGAUUUUCCGAGAAACCUCGAAUUAUCUUCGGCAGCACCUGUCCUCACCCUGCAGUCAAUGUCACACGUGUAAAUAAUUGUAGUUCUCCAAAAUAUUUAAAACUGCUACACUCAAGUAUCACAUAAUGCGCCUAUUCGAGCAUGAUCAAGCUGUGUUGUUAGAUUCCAACAUCGAAACUGGUCGCCUUAUGGCAGCAUUGCACCAAACUUGUUUUCCCCCUGAGCUAUGUCUCUUUUUUGCUUCCUGUUCUAGCAUUUUUCACCUUUCCAAUCCUAAUGUGCCUAUUCAAGCAUGAUCAAGCUGUGUUGUUAGAUUCUAAUGUUUACUUAUGCUCCAGGGGUGUAUCCUCAUUUUUAUGAAUAUAGCAAUCAAAUUAAAAUCACACCCCGUUAAAACAAUCAUGGUUCAAUCCUAACACAGAACAGAGGACUGAAUAUACUUGAGCUGCAGCAUUCAGGAAUGCAUAGACUCUGAAUCUAUACUACAUGCGCUGACCAUUUAUUCAGCAGAUCACAUAUUCACAUACAUUACCAAAACCUAGCAGCCAUCCAUAGUCUUACUGCGAAGCCGUCAGUUCUGCAAAUUUCACCAACAUGGUCGGACGAUGUGGUGUGUGGCUGCAGGGGGGGACCGAGUGCAGCCGCCUCAAGAGCCCCUUCUCACCGUUGUCCUGUACGGGAGCAGCAUUUAAAAGCACAAUACAGAUCUGAAGUAGAAGAAUUUAUUCUUCUGAAUUCAUAUGGCAUGGUACUGCUCUGGACAAUGAUGGCACAUGUAGGAUGACAUAAUUUUCAGAAAUCUUUUCCAUUAUUAAUUGUUGGCAGAUGCAUCCAGUCAAGUACUUUAAGAGAAGCACACACAAAUGUAGUAGAAAGGAAAGAAGAAAACCUUGAUGAGUCGAACGACGCAGCGACAGAAGAGAUCGUACAACCUGUGAAAUACACAAAAAACAAGCGGUCAGAGCACAAUGACACACAGGCAUGCAAUGAACACUCGCCAGUCACGGAAGCAACAUAAUGGCCUAUUUACCCGAGGCAGCAAGCAGAAGCAUGUUGGGUUAGCAGCAGGACAGACGAGAAGAAGAAGCGCUGGCGACAGGAGAAAGACCAAAUGGCCAAAUGGCGCAGAGACCUGCUAAAGACAUGUUAAAUGGUUAAAUGGUUAAAAACUGACAUGUAAACAACAAACACAAACUAUAGCCAGUCAACAAAGCCCUUUUUUGCAAGGCCGGCAUCACGGCAGCCAUCACUCAUGGCCUGCCUUGGAGGCACGACACGAAGGUUGCCAAAGGUCAGUGCUACCGCAGAGACCCGCUACGAAGUUUAUUUUCUUAUGAAAAGAGAAGUUCUAGGAAGUGUCGGCAUUUCAAAACGGUUAUCCAUUUUCUUUCUAAUGCAAGAAUGUGCAUUAACUAUGGGUCACGCACUGAACGAAGAUUAAUGCAUUCAACAAUUUUGCAUUUGUAUUAGCUUAUUUUCAUACAGAUAUAUGAACCCUCCAAUUAGUCAAUUAAAUUUGACUGUACAUAAACUUUCAGCUACUGAACUAAAACCGAAACAGGAGAAAGCACACACACACACACACACACACACACACGCACGCACACGCACGCACACACGCUCGCAUAUUUUACAUUUCCUCCAAGAUCUGACUGAAUAUUAAAUAUCACCGACCGCUAAGAAAACAAAAGAAGUCACAAUGGGACUAUAUAAAGCAUUAUGUAGAACAUUUGGGCCGUACACAGAGCAGAGAGCCUAAUGCUUUAACUUUGAUGGAGUUAUCAAUUUAAGCUUUAAACACUAUUGUGAAGGAGCUUUACCUAGGUUGUAGCACCAGAGCACAUGAAUCCAAAAAAAAACUAACCCUUAGAAAUAAGUCCCAAGAGCCUAGUAUUUAGAAACCUAUAAGUCUGGGUAAACAUAAGAUCAUUCAUACACUUGAUCCGCUAAUAACUAAGCAACACAUAGUAGUUAUCUUCAUGCUAGUAAAGAGAGCCAACCAAACAACCAAUAUGCCUAUGCUUCAGGGAAGAAAAAAUUGCCUGAAGGAAUAACCUUGGCUGAUAAUUUAUAAAUACACCACGAAAAUCAUCUCCAAGUUUAACAGGUACAUGCUACUUUAAAUCAAAAGAACACAAAAGGAUCAUGUGUAACAUGGUUCUUACCUUCUGCCAUUUUGGAAAUUAUUGUACGCUGAAAUCUACAGCUUCUACUGGACAAUGAACAUGUGUUAAGAAGACAAGUAUAGUUUAGAAAGGUGUGCAUAACAAAAUAUAGAGCGCGUGUCCCCUCCUCCCAUCCUCUUCUACCCUGCAACAAUAGAGAGUAAAAAUUCUUCAGUUCUUCGGCUAUCUAUGAAUCAAGAUUUUGGUCCUAGGAUGCACAACCAAUAAAAAGCAUUAUAAUUUUGUAAGGUACGAACAGCUGUACCUUGAAGCACAAUCAACAUGCAGGAAUCAUCAUCUUCAUAAAGUAAUAAGUAAUCUUGGUCAUCCAUGCACCGACUGUAUCUUGCUUGCUAAUUUCCACCUGUGUCACAAAUAAGGCAAUGUCAUGUUCAGACUGAAGGUGAAAGAAGCACACAUUCAGUUUCUAAUUUAAUUUAGUACUAAUAAAAUCUCUAUGAAGAAGCAGACCAACUGCUGGAAAUAAACUAGCAUGGAACUAAAUCAGUGUCCACAAAACCAUAUAGAUAUGCAUGCUCAUCAAGCAUGUCAUACAUUUUACCAGAAUGGAAGCUUAGCUAGUGCUAGUGCCCUAACUCAAGAACCUCCAGCCCACAUAAUAGAAAUUCGUCCAUCUUAGCCAUGAAUUCACUUAAACAGGAGACAAAAUAAAUGCUUUCCUCAGACACAGUACACUGAAGAAACAAAAGUAUGCAGGCUGAACUGAUAAGCUCUUAUGACUGAACAAAGCCCAUCUGCAAACAUCAUCAUUUAUGGCAAGAAAAUACCUGAAUAAAGCCCAUCUGCAGUUAUAAUAUCAGUCCCCAGUUUGGCACUUAACUCUUAAGGCUUUAGGUCUCUAGACACAUCGAUAUGAUGUAUCCAUAUAUAUAAUCAUAGCAAUACACUGUUGGAAGAUUAAAAGAUAGUUCCGACGUAUUUUCCAGAAUUUUAUCUAGGAUGAACACAGGAGCUUGAAAGGAGGGCCAAUACUGGGUUCACCAUGCAACAUACCUGUGCACCAUCAACAAUGGCAUAAUUCGGACUUGCAGAUGAUCAUUGGGACAUGAAAAACAGAUAAAAAAAUGCAUUGAAAGCUUUGGACCUGAAAUAUAGAAGAUUGCCCCCUUGGUAUACCCAUGAGAAAUACACGUAAGCAUCAACCAAAUGCAAUCACAGUCAAGUAUGAUUUCUUUAAUCUAUUUAGUGUGCUUUUCAUGUACUGUGCAAGUAGCAAGGGGCUGUUCUUCAAUAAACAACAUCUUAUUAGCUUCAGAUGACGUCCAUUGACACUAUACUGCUAAUUUAAGUUAAUUAAGUUGUGAUCCUAAUAUUCAGGUAAAAAAUCACAUGGAAAGCUCAAAUUGAACCGGGAUUAUGGAUCUACAUAUUAUGACCUACCAAGGUUACCAUGACAAUGCAGAUAGUAUGGAGGCUAAUUUAAGAACGUAAACUAUAUAUAUAUAUAUAUAUAUAUAUAUAGAGAGAGAGAGAGAGAGAGAGACAUUUAAUGACAUCAAACAAUUACGGGUUGCAGUUUUAAACAAAAAUACAUGAUGGAUCAUUGCAUAUAACUACGAUUAUAAAGGUACACUAUGUUUUCUAACAAAUGAAAAGACAACUACUCUUACUGUCUAUAAUUAUAAUUCAAUUAUGUGUCAAUAAGAAAGCAACAAUCAUUGCGGAUACAUUUAUAAACUUCCAGUGAUCCUGUGAGCAUAUGCUAAUACUCCUUAACAUAAAUCUCACUUGUCAUCGCCAUCGUCUCUGUCUUGCUGGAAUCACAUCCUCUAUCUGCAAACUGAAACAAUAGCAACAUCAAAUCCCUCCUGAAGGUUUCACCCUGGACCUUCCCCCUGCUGAUCUGCAUAGGCAUGUCAUUCCGUUAACCAAGCAAACUCAACAAUCAACACCAUGCAUGUGAACUUCUUCAGGAAUGGACUGUGAUGCCGGGGCUGACCUCUCAUAAGGUACGUAGAACAUUGUACCAGUUACAUUUUUUAAGGAAAUAAGCUUGUUGGGAGUUAGAACUCCUUUGCAAUUUUCAAGAGGUGUCCGUAGUAGACAAGAUUUUCAAGCUAACUAAGUGGAAAUACAAAGGAUCUGAAAGAGCUGUAAUGCUUUGAUAUAUGAAAUCAAUGGCAUCUACAGCAGUACAGCACUAGUGACAUCUUUUGAGCAAUAUAUCCACCCGCCGGCAAUCUAUAUCUGCAGUUGAACAUUUUUACUUAAAUGCAAACGAGAACAAAGAAAGGUAUCCAAGUAGAACAGUUAUCUUUCUACAACCAUCCUUUCUAUCUUCCAAUAGAAUGAGAAAACAUUUUGAAUUAAAUUAACAAUGAUCUUGAAGCAAAAUGCAUGAAGUUGGUGUCAACCUGAUGCAUGUUACAGAUACUGGAUCCUCUCUUGUUUGGUAUUCCCUCAAAGCCUUACUGAACUUUCAUCAAACACCUUGCAGGCAUAGAUAAAAGAGAAUUUGCACAUGUAAAUAAAUGAGCUGAAGAGAAAGGGCAGGAGGCAAGGGGGAAAGCUAGGUGUGGCAUCUUCUGCUUUUCCAUGGCCGCCUGCACCUCGGGGUUGGUAGCUGCCCUCUGACAGAGAGAGGGAGAGAUGUAGAGGGAUAGAGAGAGGGACUCACCAACGCGCGGAGCUUGGCAGCCAAAGCGGAAGGGAAGCCGGCUCCAAUGACCUCCUCCGCCUUCUAUGCUAGUCACCACCACUNNNNNNNNNNNNNNNNNNNNNNNNNNNNNNNNNNNNNNNNNNNNNNNNNNNNNNNNNNNNNNNNNNNNNNNNNNNNNNNNNNNNNNNNNNNNNNNNNNNNCGGUAUGUAGGAUACCUUAUGAGGGAGAAUUAGAGGAACCCCAUCGUGAAGAUGUGGAUGGCUUCGUUAAAACUAUUGUUGUAGAAGAGCCAAAGAAGGGCUCUGAGGCAAAAGUCUCUAGCAUACACUUUCCUUUUUUUACGCUACUUUGCCAUAUUUGCUAGUAGAUGCUUGAUUGGUCAUGGAAAUAGUGGAAAUUUGAGCGUUCCAUAUAUUAUCAUUCUUCAACAUGCUUUGCUUGGGGACAAUACUUUUAGUAUGGGUGCCGUCGUUGCUAAACUGCUAGCCCUGAAUCGUACAAAAGGCCCCAUAUUUGGAGGUAUCUAUGUUGCACGUCUUGCUGAACAUUUUCAGAUACCCAUUAGGCACCUUGAGGAGGAGGAGACAAAACUACCUCCUCACAUUUUAGAUUACAAGAGCAUGGUAGCACACAAGUUUAUUGUUGACAACGAAGAGAAGAUGCUUCUGUAUAGACUUAGAUUCAAUAAGAAACACUUUGAGUUUAUUAUUUUGCCUGCACCUCUGUUAUUUGAUUUGCUUGCAGAAAGUCGUCUUGUCACACCGGAGGCCGUGAACAACCAUCUAGCCCAAGCUUUUACUCCGGAACCUGAACCUGAGCCGGAACCUGAAUUGGACCCUUAUCAUGCAUCAUCUGCCGAGUGGGAUCCGAAGAUAACCAGCCAGUGGUAUCCUGAUUACACCUCCCACUAUACCGGGGAGAGUAGCGGCGGUCCUUGGUAUUAAACCAACUUAGGACAAAAGCCUAAGCUUGGGGGAGUACGUAUUUCUCACCGACUUUACAUUCAUGUUCACACACUAGUCGUCGGUGCUCAUACUCUUUCAUUGUAUUAUACAUGCUAGUUUAAAUUUCUUUUUCUAGUUUUCUUCUUGUGUGUUCGAUAAACCUUAAGAAAAAACAAAAAAAAUAGUUAGUUUAAUUUCCAUGCUUGUAGUAGAAAUUAAAAUUAAAACCCAAAAAGAUUUCUCGUUCUUCUUUUACUUGUUGGGAGCUUUCCCGUGUAAAUAGUUUUAUUUUAUUUUAUUUCUUUUGGGGGUCGAGAAGACUAUAUUGAAAAUGCUUAGUGGCUCUUAUAUGCAUGAUUUUUUAUUUAAUUUAUAGCUCAUAUUACUUGUCUUCUCUCUUGAGUUAAAUUCUUGCAGAUUCCAGCUUAGUCCAAUGCACGUGCACUCUUAUUAUUAUACACAUCGUUCGAUCGUGCAAGUGAAAGGCAAUAAUGACGAUAUAUGAUGGACUUAUUGGGAUGAGAAAAGCUGGUAUGAACUCGACCUCUUUUGUUUUUGUAAAUAUGAUGAUCCAUCGUUCCUGAGUUAGCUAUUAUAAAGUAAACAUAUUUGCAAUGACAUUUAGAGAUUAUAGUUGCUUGUGCCAUGCUUGAUUUGCUAUGAGUUAUAAUGGUUUAUCUUGCGUGCCAACAUGCUAUUAGAAUGAUUAUGAUGUGGUAUGAUGGGAUGGUAUCCUCCUUUGAAUGUAUUAAGUGACUCGACUUGGCACAUGUUCAUACAUGUAGUUGAAUCAAAUCAACAUAGCCUUCAUGAUAUUUAUGUUCAUGGUAGAUUAUAUCCUACUCAUGCUUGUACUCGGUGUAAAUUAAUUUUAAUGCAUGUUUACGACUGUUGUCGCUCUCUCAGUUGGUCGCUUCCCAGUCUUUUGCUAGCCUUCACCUGUACUAAGCGGGAAUACUGCUUGUGCAUCCAAACUCCUUAAACCCCAAAGUUGUUCCAUAUGAGUCCACUAUACCAUCCUAUAUGCAGUAUUUACCUGCCGUUCCAAGUAAAUUUGUAUGUGCCAAACUCCAAACCUUCAAAUGAAAUUCUGUUUUGUAUGCUCGAGCAGCUCAUGUUUCAACUGGGGCUGCCCAUAUCUUCCAUGCUAUGUGGGUUAUUCUCACGAGGAGUGGACUCCGCUCCUCAUUCACGAGAAAGGGUCGGUAACCGGGAUGCCCAGUCCCAUGAUCCAAAACAAUCAAAGCAAAUCAAAAUAAUUAAACAAAACUCCCCCAGGGAUGUUGUAUGUUGGAGGCACUCGUUGUUUCGAGCAAGCCACGGAUUGAUGCUUGUUGGUGGUUGGGGGAGUAUAAACAUUUACCAUUUUGUUUGGGAACUGCCUAUAAUGCAUGUAGUAUGGAAGAUAGAGCCAUCUCAUAGUUGUUGCGUUGAUAGCGAAAGUAUGCCGCUCAAAAUGUUAUUCAAUCUCUAUUUUAAAAUCGAGCUCUGGCACCUCUACAAAUCCCUGUGUCCCUCUGCGAAGGGCCUAUCUAUUUACUUUUAUGUUGAGUCAUCACCCUUCUUAUUAGAAAGCACCCUCUGGAGAGCACACUGUCAUUUGCAUCCAUUAUUAUUGGUUUAUAUUGGGUAUGACUUGACUGGAUCUCUUUUACCAUGAAUUACAAUGUUUAGUCAGACCUUGAUCUUCAAAGGUGCUCUGCAUUUAUGUUUUGCGGUCUCAGAAAGGGCUAACGAGAUAUCAUUUUGUUAUAUCACGUUAUGAUUAUUUUGAGAAAGUGUUGUCAUCCGAGUUUUAUUAUUACUAGUUGACCCGUUGCGCCAAAUGGCGCAGAGACCCGCUAAAGCCAUGUUAUAGAUGAAAAUAGUUUCAUUUUGCAAGGACAUAUUCGAUAUUGAUAGUAGAAAGCCCAUGUGUUAAACCAUGUUACAUUGAAAAUAUGUUUACCACGAUGUGAAAUCCGAGUUCAAAAAAAAAUAUAACAUGUACUCCCUCCGUUCCUAAAUAUAAGUCUUUUGAGAGAUUUCACUAUGGACCACAUAUGAAGCAAAAUGAGUGAAUCUACACAUAAAAUGCAUCUAUAUACAUCCAUAUGUGGUCCAUAGUGAAAUAUCUACAAAGACUUAUAUUUAGGAAUGGAGGGAGUACAAACCAGCUAAGGAACCAUUGUUUCAAUUGCAAAUAUAGUUAUCACCAUGAGAAAUCUGAGUUAAAAAAAACAUAUUUCCAUAAGAUGUACAGAUUAAGGAUGUAUUUUUUAGCAGUAUUUGCACCAAACUUUUAUUUCCCAUGUGCACGAAACAUAAAACCUAUUUGCCCAUCAAACAAGACGCCGUCCAGCACGUUCCUACCGGCUCGGAUGAUAGCAAGAUAUGGGCCGGCAAAGUCGAGAUACGCACUGUUAGUUCAGAUGCGCACAUGAACAGAAACUGUAGAAACACCCGAAGAUGAACUGAUCGCCACCUCCGAUCCACCCACUUGGUUCACCGACGACUGCCCCAUGCACUUGCACACGACUGUGUACUGAAGAUCAUCUCUAGGAAAAACAGAGCAGCCAACCAAAAGCAUGUAGUUCAAAUUUUGAACUGAUGGAAGUUCUCUUUGGACGGGAGCAGACACCUGCUUACACCUCUCUGUAUACCAGAUUUCAGGGCAAGCAUCGUUAAGACUUGUUGAGCAGGCCGAAAGGAAAUGUGAAGAGUCAUUCAAUUUCUCAACAAAUUCAGACAUCAGACUUCUGGACAUAAGAACACCAGCAACGCCCACACAAAGCAAAGUUUUAGUGAUGAUUUACCCGCAAUUCUCAUAGACCUGACUACAUAGCACUAUUUUCAUUUAUUUGUCAAACACAAUAUAUUUAUCAUGCUACGUUGCAUUCAGAAAGUAUAAACUACUACAGUAGUACAGUCUGGACCGCCGUGGAUCCACACAUACAUAGAAAAAUUGCAUCUUAACAAUUCACACACAAUCUUUAAUAAUUCAGUACACCAUAAGAGAAAAUGCUCUAAUCAUACAUCAGACAUCAGAACCAUGAAACUACUUAUUCAAUCACACCAAUAAUUUUCCCAUUAACUGUCUUUCAGUCUUCCUACUAAUGCCGAAUCGCUUAUCCCAAAAGCACAGGUUGUAAAAGUCAUAGGCUUCUCCCGAAGUAUCAAAACUCGUCCCCAAUGUCAGCACUAUGACAUUGUCCCCUGGAUUUUCCGAGAAACCUCGAAUUAUCUUCGGCAGCACCUGUCCUCACCCUGCAGUCAAUGUCACACGUGUAAAUAAUUGUAGUUCUCCAAAAUAUUUAAAACUGCUACACUCAAGUAUCACAUAAUGCGCCUAUU